ACCACCUCUGAAGCCUUGAAUCCACAAGCCUGCAUCAUGCAGACAACACUAGUCAUUUGCUGGAACUUAAUUGUUUUAAAAACCGGCAGCCACAAUGCUGAUGCAUUGGGGUCCACAGAUCAAGCACUAGUGGUCUACUCGUCCAUAACACAUCUACCGCACCCCUGUUGGGGCUGUGCCUCCGGGGAAAAUCUUCCGGAGUGCCCGUGACUGCUCUGCGUCUGAGGGGUCUGUAGGUUAACCGAGAUCGGAAGCAGGUCUCUACGCUUUGCUUGUAGAUAUGUUUUGGAGUUCACUUGGUAGAUUAAAAUAUGACCGACCUCCUCUAGUAACAGAGGAGACCUUGUGUUCCGUAGGUGAACCUGCGGAAGGAUCAUUACAGAGUUGGGGUCUUUCAGGCCCGAUCUCCAACCCUAUGUGUACUCACCCUCGUUGCUUUGGCGGGCCCGGUUGGGGUGACCCACCCGGUGGCCUUCGGCUUCCCAGUGCCCGUCAGAGACCCAUUCAAAAUCUGUUAAUAGUGUCGUCUGGGUAUCAAUGCAAUAAUUAAAACUUUCAACAACGGAUCUCUUGGUUCUGGCAUCGAUGAAGAACGCAGCGAAAUGCGAUAAGUAAUGUGAAUUGCAGAAUUCAGUGAAUCAUCGAAUCUUUGAACGCACAUUGCGCCUCUCGGUAUUCCGGGAGGCAUGCCUGUUCGAGCGUCAUUUCACCACUCAAGCCGUGCUUGACGUUGGGUCCUCGUCCCCUUGGGGCGUGCCCGAAAAUCAGUGGCGGCACAGUCCGGCUUCAAGCGGUAUCAAUUUGUCCUCGCUUUGGAAGUUUUGGACCUGAGCCUGCCAGACAACCCUCCCCCUUCUUAAGGUUGACCUCGGAUCAGGUAGGGAUACCCGCUGAACUUAAGCAUAUCAAUAAGCGGAGGAAAAGAAACCAACAGGGAUUGCCUCAGUAACGGCGAGUGAAGCGGCAACAGCUCAAAUUUGAAAUCUGGCCCUUUCAGGGUCCGAGUUGUAAUUUGCAGAGGAUGCUUCGGGUCCAGCUCCGGUCUAAGUUCCUUGGAACAGGACGUCAUAGAGGGUGAGAAUCCCGUAUGUGACCGGUCGCGAUGCCCGUGUGAAGCUCCUUCGACGAGUCGAGUUGUUUGGGAAUGCAGCUCAAAACGGGUGGUAAAUUUCAUCUAAAGCUAAAUAUUGGCCAGAGACCGAUAGCGCACAAGUAGAGUGAUCGAAAGAUGAAAAGCACUUUGGAAAGAGAGUCAAACAGUACGUGAAAUUGUUGAAAGGGAAGCGCUUGCAACCAGACUUGCCUGCAGGCGAUCAGCCGGUAUUCUUACCGGUGCACUUGCCUGCCGUCAGGCCAGCAUCGGUUCGGGUGGCUGGAUAAAGUCCACUGGAAUGUAGCUCCCCUCGGGGAGUGUUAUAGCCAGGGGUGCCAUGCAGCCCGCCCGGACCGAGGACCGCGCU
RNAcentral lists this small RNA (1460 nucleotides) under Acarospora schleicheri. RNAcentral's name for it is "eukaryotic LSU rRNA". The stretch from base 864 to 1460 matches the Rfam family "Eukaryotic large subunit ribosomal RNA", at positions 1 to 601 of the family's 3401-position model. The record is from RNAcentral. Lineage: Eukaryota; Fungi; Ascomycota; Lecanoromycetes; Acarosporales; Acarosporaceae.